GACGAACGCUGGCGGCAUGCCUAACACAUGCAAGUCGAGCGAGUAGAUCCCUUCGGGGUGAAGCUAGCGGCGGACGGGUGAGUAACACGUGGGCAACCUGCCUCAUAGAGGGGAAUAGCCUUCCGAAAGGAAGAUUAAUACCGCAUAAGAUUGUAGCUUCGCAUGAAGCAGCAAUUAAAGGAGCAAUCCGCUAUGAGAUGGGCCCGCGGCGCAUUAGCUAGUUGGUGAGGUAACGGCUCACCAAGGCGACGAUGCGUAGCCGACCUGAGAGGGUGAUCGGCCACAUUGGGACUGAGACACGGCCCAGACUCCUACGGGAGGCAGCAGUGGGGAAUAUUGCACAAUGGGGAAAACCUGAUGCAGCAAUGCCGCGUGAGUGAUGACGGCCUUCGGGUUGUAAAGCUCUGUCUUCGGGGACGAUAAUGACGGUACCCGAGGAGGAAGCCACGGCUAACUACGUGCCAGCAGCCGCGGUAA
RNAcentral lists this ribosomal RNA (477 nucleotides) under uncultured bacterium. RNAcentral's name for it is "partial 16S ribosomal RNA". It matches the Rfam family "Bacterial small subunit ribosomal RNA", at positions 28 to 523 of the family's 1533-position model. The record is from RNAcentral.